AACGAACGCUGGCGGCAUGCCUAACACAUGCAAGUCGAACGAAGGCUUCGGCCUUAGUGGCGCACGGGUGAGUAACGCGUGGGAAACUGCCUAUUGGUGGGGAAUAACGACGGGAAACUGUCGCUAAUACCGCAUAAGCCCUUCGGGGGAAAGAUUUAUCGCCGAUAGAUGUGCCCGCGUCCGAUUAGCUAGUUGGUGAGGUAAUGGCGAACCAAGGCGACGAUCGGUAGCUGGUCUGAGAGGAUGAUCAGCCACACUGGGACUGAGACACGGCCCAGACUCCUACGGGAGGCAGCGGUGGGGAAUAUUGGACAAUGGGCGAAAGCCUGAUCCAGCAAUGCCGCGUGAGUGAUGAAGGCCUUAGGGUUGUAAAGCUCUUUCGGGUGGGACGAUGAUGACGGUACCACCAGAAGAAGCCCCGGCUAACUUCGUGCCAGCAGCCGCCGCAG
Molecule: ribosomal RNA, 449 nt
Filed under: uncultured bacterium
Lineage: Bacteria
Description: partial 16S ribosomal RNA
Rfam family: Bacterial small subunit ribosomal RNA
Source: RNAcentral